GCAAACUUCACUAGCAUAUACUAAAAUUGGAAUGAUGCAGAGAAGAUUAGCAUGGCCCCUGCACAGGGCACAGAUGGCAUGAAAUUCAGGAGCAUUCCUUAUUA
Molecule: small nuclear RNA, 104 nt
Filed under: Erinaceus europaeus (western European hedgehog)
Lineage: Eukaryota; Metazoa; Chordata; Mammalia; Eulipotyphla; Erinaceidae
Source: RNAcentral